UACGUAGGGGCCAAGCGUUGUCCGGAUUUAUUGGGCGUAAAGAGCUCGUAGGUGGUUCGGCAAGUCAGCUGUGAAAUCUCCACGCUCAACGUGGAGGGGUCAGCUGAUACUGCUGAGACUUGAGUCCGGUAGGGGAGUGUGGAAUUCCUGGUGUAGCGGUGAAAUGCGCAGAUAUCAGGAGGAACACCAAUGGCGAAGGCAGCACUCUGGGACGGUACUGACGCUGAGACGCGAAAGCGUGGGGAGCAAACAGG
This 254-nucleotide ribosomal RNA is filed under the name uncultured bacterium. RNAcentral describes it as "partial 16S ribosomal RNA". It matches the Rfam family "Bacterial small subunit ribosomal RNA", at positions 524 to 776 of the family's 1533-position model. The record is from RNAcentral.